UGAUUGGAUGUACGCAGUGCCUUGGCUUGGGCACUUGUGUCUUUGCCUAUCCCAAAAAAACCCGAAUCGAAUUUGAAGAACUAUUUUUGUUUCAAUUGAUUAAACAAUGAAAUGUUGUUUAUUAACAGAUAGAGAAAAUCAAAAAUCAAGGAGAAAUGAAAUCAUCGUAUUUUGUGCUGUGCUGCUUAUUUGCUUAGCUUAUGUUCUGCUACUGCUACUGCGGUGCAAAGGCAAAUGCAAAACGCAUGGAAUACGACGCAUUAUAAAAUAUUUGAUAUGAUUUUUAAAUUUAAUUGGGACUAAAACUUACCAAUAGAGUUAGAUUUAAAUUGUAAGAUGUUUUCUUUUCAAGUUUAAAACAAGUAUUUUAAUUAAAAAUCAAAGAAAAAUCUGUUAAAAGAAAUUUCUUGUGUGUUGUUUGGGAUAAAAUGCCAUGGAAA
Molecule: long non-coding RNA, 440 nt
Organism: Eupeodes corollae
Lineage: Eukaryota; Metazoa; Arthropoda; Insecta; Diptera; Syrphidae
Exons: 2
Source: RefSeq, a predicted model, not a curated record